AUUUAUAUAGUUUAACAAAACCUUAUAUUUUCAAUAUAAAAUUGAGAAAAUUUAACUACUCUAUAAAUU
Molecule: transfer RNA, 69 nt
Filed under: Pseudodendrothrips mori
Lineage: Eukaryota; Metazoa; Arthropoda; Insecta; Thysanoptera; Thripidae
Description: tRNA-Glu
Source: RNAcentral